AUCAUCUCUUCGAUGACAUUUGAUAAAGUUGGAAUGAUAAAGAGAAGAUUAGCAUGUUCCCCGUGCAAGGAUAAUAUGCACAAAUUAAAAAAUGAUCCAAAUUUUU
Molecule: non-coding RNA, 106 nt
Organism: Capsicum annuum
Lineage: Eukaryota; Viridiplantae; Streptophyta; Magnoliopsida; Solanales; Solanaceae
Source: Rfam